Molecule: ribosomal RNA, 253 nt
Filed under: uncultured bacterium
Lineage: Bacteria
Description: partial 16S ribosomal RNA
Rfam family: Bacterial small subunit ribosomal RNA
Source: RNAcentral
UACAGAGGGGGCAAGCGUUAUUCGGAAUUAUUGGGCGUAAAGGGCGCGUAGGCGGCUUGGCAAGUGGAAGGUGAAAUCCCUCGGCUUAACCGAGGAACUGCCCUCCAAACUGCUUCGCUUGAGACCGGGAGAGGUGAGUGGAAUUCCCAGUGUAGCGGUGAAAUGCGUAGGUAUUGGGAGGAACACCAGUGGCGAAGGCGGCUCACUGGACCGGUACUGACGCUGAUGCGCGAAAGCGUGGGGAGCAAACGGG